Molecule: long non-coding RNA, 257 nt
Organism: Prosopis cineraria
Lineage: Eukaryota; Viridiplantae; Streptophyta; Magnoliopsida; Fabales; Fabaceae
Exons: 3
Source: RefSeq, a predicted model, not a curated record
GGGAAGGAAACGCACAAACGGGAGAGUGAGAGAGAGAGAGAGGAAGAAGAAAGGAGAAAGAGAGGGAGUUAGGCUCGGAUCUAGGAGUCUUUGCGACCGUUGCGAGCUCGGCUACACGAUAGAAAAUUGUUGGUGGAACUUAUUGAGAAGUAAGGAACAAGCCGAGCCCUAUUUUGUACAAGGGGAACCCUUUUAGUACCAAAGGGUUGAGGUCCAGGCGAAGGAUCCAGUGGUGGACGGGGAAAGGAGCAAAGCUA